GGCGUAAAGCGCAUGCAGGUGGUCUGUCAAGUUGGAUGUGAAAUCCCCGGGCUCAACCUGGGAACUGCAUCCGAAACUGGCAGGCUAGAGUCCUGUAGAGGGGGGUAGAAUUUC
This 114-nucleotide ribosomal RNA is filed under the name uncultured bacterium. RNAcentral's name for it is "partial 16S ribosomal RNA". It matches the Rfam family "Bacterial small subunit ribosomal RNA", at positions 557 to 670 of the family's 1533-position model. The record is from RNAcentral.